UGUGUGUUAGUGGAAGCGUCUGGAAAGUCGCGCAGCAAAGGGUGAUAGCCCCGUACACUAAAAUGCACAGGUCGUGAGUUCGAUGAGUAGGGCGGGACACGUGACAUCCUGUCUGAAUAUGGGGGGACCAUCCUCCAAGGCUAAAUACUCCUGACUGACCGAUAGUGAACCAGUACCGUGAGGGAAAGGCGAAAAGAACCCCGGCGAGGGGAGUGAAAUAGAACCUGAAACCGUGUACGUACAAGCAGUGGGAGCACCUUCGUGGUGUGACUGCGUACCUUUUGUAUAAUGGGUCAGCGACUUAUAUUUUGUAGCAAGGUUAACCGUAUAGGGGAGCCGUAGGGAAACCGAGUCUUAACUGGGCGAUUAGUUGCAAGGUAUAGACCCGAAACCCGGUGAUCUAGCCAUGGGCAGGUUGAAGGUUGGGUAACACUAACUGGAGGACCGAACCGACUAAUGUUGAAAAAUUAGCGGAUGACUUGUGGCUGGGGGUGAAAGGCCAAUCAAACCGGGAGAUAGCUGGUUCUCCCCGAAAGCUAUUUAGGUAGCGCCUCGUGAACUCAUCUUCGGGGGUAGAGCACUGUUUCGGCUAGGGGGCCAUCCCGGCUUACCAAACCGAUGCAAACUCCGAAUACCGAAGAAUGUUAUCACGGGAGACACACGGCGGGUGCUAACGUCCGUCGUGAAGAGGGAAACAACCCAGACCGCCAGCUAAGGUCCCAAAGUCAUGGUUAAGUGGGAAACGAUGUGGGAAGGCAUAGACAGCCAGGAUGUUGGCUUAGAAGCAGCCAUCAUUUAAAGAAAGCGUAAUAGCUCACUGGUCGAGUCGGCCUGCG
Molecule: ribosomal RNA, 836 nt
Filed under: Serratia marcescens
Lineage: Bacteria; Pseudomonadati; Pseudomonadota; Gammaproteobacteria; Enterobacterales; Yersiniaceae
Description: partial 23S ribosomal RNA
Rfam family: Bacterial large subunit ribosomal RNA
Source: RNAcentral